RNAcentral lists this ribosomal RNA (518 nucleotides) under Ommastrephes brevimanus. Its description in RNAcentral is "partial large subunit ribosomal RNA". It matches the Rfam family "Bacterial large subunit ribosomal RNA", at positions 1825 to 2605 of the family's 2925-position model. Lineage: Eukaryota; Metazoa; Mollusca; Cephalopoda; Oegopsida; Ommastrephidae. The record is from RNAcentral.
GUCUCUUUGUAAAAUAUAAAUAGAGAGUCGGGCCUGCUCGGUGAACAAGUUUUUAACAGCUGCGGUAUUUUAACUGUACUAAGGUAGCAUAAUAAUUUGCCUUAUAAUUUGAGGCUAGAAUGAAUGGUUUGACGAAGGUUAAUCUGUCUCCAUCUUAUUUUUUAGAAGUUAAUUUUUAAAGUGAAAAAGCUUAAAUUUUUCAAAGGGACGAGAAGACCCUAAUGAGCUUAUAAUUUUAUUAUCAUUAUUUAAAACAUUUAGGUGGUGGUAUAUAAAUUUUAAUUGGGGUGAUUAAGGAAUAAAUUGUGUAUAGUAACUUCCUUAAACUAGGUAUUUGUAGAUAAAGUAACCAAUGUAAUAUUGCUUAUAGUAUAGUUACCAUAGGGAUAACAGCGUAAUUUGUUUAGAGAGUUCUUAUUGAAAAACGAGAUUGCGACCUCGAUGUUGGAUUAAAGUAACCCUAAGGUGCAGAAGCUUUAGUAGGUAAAUCUGUUCGAUUUUUAAUACUUUACAUGAUC